GAACCUGAUACACCAAGGAUUUUCCUCCAGGAUAUAUUUCUAUCCACUCAAAAUUAAGAUCCAGAUUUGCCAGUGAUGGUCUUUUUAGAGUCCUUUGGCUAUCAAAUCAUGGCACAGCUGAAGAAUGUACCUCAACAACCCUUAAAAGUAAUGCAGAAGGAUUUUUCAAGAAGGUUCCAAAAUGCUGGGAUUACAGACCCGUGAUGGCAAACCUAUGACAUGCACGCCUCAGCUGGCACGGCAGAGUCCUCUCUAUCAGCAUGGCGAUGAAUCCCGCCUGUGGGAAAAUCGCUGUGGUUCCCUGGAAUAAAAGGAGAGAAAAGGAGGACGGCGAUUGGCCUAUCCGUCUGUUUCCCUACAGAAUCCAGUCCUGAGAUUCACCCCCUCCACACACACGCCCCAGUUUAUUUGGAAUCACCCAACCUGGAAGCACAAUCUCAGGUCUACAUGAUGGACCUUAACCCUGGGAGAAGAGAAAGUGACUCAUUCCACUGCGGAGCUGGCCUGGUAGUGAAUGUUUCAUACCCACAACAUGGAGGCCAAAUCUUGAAGGAAGUGGACAGAAUUCUGUGCAGAACAAAUAAUGUAA
Molecule: non-coding RNA, 589 nt
Organism: Heterocephalus glaber (naked mole-rat)
Lineage: Eukaryota; Metazoa; Chordata; Mammalia; Rodentia; Bathyergidae
Source: RefSeq, a predicted model, not a curated record